UACAGAGGGGGCAAGCGUUAUUCGGAAUUAUUGGGCGUAAAUGGCGCGUAGGCGGCUUGGCAAGUGGAUGGUGAAAUCCCUCGGCUUAACCGAGGAACUGCCGUCCAAACUGCUUCGCUUGAGACCGGGAGAGGUGAGUGGAAUUCCCAGUGUAGCGGUGAAAUGCGUAGAUAUUGGGAGGAACACCAGUGGCGAAGGCGGCUCACUGGACCGGUACUGACGCUGAUGCGCGAAAGCGUGGGGAGCAAACGGG
This 253-nucleotide ribosomal RNA is filed under the name uncultured bacterium. RNAcentral's name for it is "partial 16S ribosomal RNA". It matches the Rfam family "Bacterial small subunit ribosomal RNA", at positions 524 to 776 of the family's 1533-position model. The record is from RNAcentral.